Molecule: ribosomal RNA, 439 nt
Filed under: uncultured Planctomycetales bacterium
Lineage: Bacteria; Pseudomonadati; Planctomycetota; Planctomycetia; Planctomycetales
Description: bacterial SSU rRNA
Rfam family: Bacterial small subunit ribosomal RNA
Source: RNAcentral
GCGGCGUGGAUUAGGCAUGCAAGUCGAGCGAGAAGUUUACUUCGGUAAAUGGACAGCGGCGAAAGGGACAGUAAUGUGUAGGUACCUACCCUCUGAUCUGGGAUAGCUGCGGGAAACUGCAGGUAAUACCGGAUAAUGUCUUCGGACCAAAGGUGUGAUUCCGUCUGAGGAGGGGCCUGCAUCCUAUUAGCUUGUUGGUGAGGUAAUGGCUCACCAAGGCAACGAUGGGUAGCGGGUGUGAGAGCAUGACCCGCGUCAUUGGGACUGAGACACUGCCCAGACAUCUACGGAUGGCUGCAGUCGAGAAUCUUCGGCAAUGGGCGAAAGCCUGACCGAGCGACGCCGCGUGCGGGAUGAAGGCCCUCGGGUUGUAAACCGCUGUCGUUGGGGAGGAAAUGCAAGAGGGCUAUCCCUUUUGUUUGACCGAUCCAAGGAGGAA